Molecule: ribosomal RNA, 564 nt
Filed under: uncultured bacterium
Lineage: Bacteria
Description: bacterial SSU rRNA
Rfam family: Bacterial small subunit ribosomal RNA
Source: RNAcentral
CCGCAAGGGGUCACGCUAUACCUGGUCGGCGACCGGCGCACGGGCGACAAAACAGCGUAUGUAACCUGCCCGCAACAGAGGGAUAACCCGGCGAAAGUCGGACUAAUACCUCAUAAAACAGGGGUUCCGCAUGGGGCUAUUUGUUAAAGAUUUAUUGGUUGCGGAUGGGCAUGCGUACCAUUAGGUAGUUGGUGAGGUAACGGUUCACCAAGCCAUCGAUGGUUAGGGGUUCUGAGAGGAAGGUCCCCCACACUGGUACUGAGACACGGACCAGACUCCUACGGGAGGCAGCAGUGAGGAAUAUUGGUCAAUGGGCGAGAGCCUGAACCAGCCAAGUCGCGUGAAGGAUGACUGCCCUAUGGGUUGUAAACUUCUUUUACAGGGGAAUAAAAUGAGAUACGUGUAUUUUAUUGCAUGUACCUUGUGAAUAAGCAUCGGCUAACUCCGUGCCAGCAGCCGCGGUAAUACGGAGGAUGCGAGCGUUAUCCGGAUUUAUUGGGUUUAAAGGGUGCGUAGGUGAGCUGUUAAGUCCGCGGUGAAAGUUUGUCGCCUAACGAUAAAAUU